Molecule: ribosomal RNA, 484 nt
Filed under: uncultured bacterium
Lineage: Bacteria
Description: partial 16S ribosomal RNA
Rfam family: Bacterial small subunit ribosomal RNA
Source: RNAcentral
AUUGAACGCUGGCGGCAGGCCUAACACAUGCAAGUCGAGCGGAUGAAGGGAGCUUGCUCCUGGAUUCAGCGGCGGACGGGUGAGUAAUGCCUAGGAAUCUGCCUGGUAGUGGGGGAUAACGUCCGGAAACGGGCGCUAAUACCGCAUACGUCCUGAGGGAGAAAGUGGGGGAUCUUCGGACCUCACGCUAUCAGAUGAGCCUAGGUCGGAUUAGCUAGUUGGUGGGGUAAAGGCCUACCAAGGCGACGAUCCGUAACUGGUCUGAGAGGAUGAUAAGUCACACUGGAACUGAGACACGGUCCAGACUCCUAAGGGAGGCAGCAGUGGGGAAUAUUGGACAGUGGGCGAAAGCAUGAUCCAGUCAUGCCGCGUGUGUGAAGAAGGUCUUCGGAUUGUAAAGCACUUUAAGUUGGGAGGAAGGGCAGUAAGUUAAUACCUUGCUGUUUUGACGUUACCAACAGAAUAAGCACCGGCUAACUUCGUG